Molecule: long non-coding RNA, 247 nt
Organism: Aethina tumida (small hive beetle)
Lineage: Eukaryota; Metazoa; Arthropoda; Insecta; Coleoptera; Nitidulidae
Exons: 5
Source: RefSeq, a predicted model, not a curated record
GUCGAAAGUCCUCCAACCGUAAGUCCUCGUUGUCCUCCAGCAUAGAAUUCUGGCAUUGCGACAGAGUCGAAAGUCCUCCAACCAUAAGUCCUCGUUGUCCUCCAGCAUAGAAUUCUGGCAUUGCGACAGAGUCGAAAGUCCUCCAACCAUAAGUCCUCGUUGUCCUCCAGGAUAGAAUUCUGGCAUUGCGACAGAGUCGAAAGUCCUCCAACCGUAAGUCCUCGUUGUCCUCCAGCAUAGAAUUCUG